UAAACUUUACUACAUUUUUAGCAGCGAUUUUGAUAGUUUUUCCAGUUUGUGGGUUUCUACCUUCACGAGCAGCUCUUUUAGAUACAGCCCAAGAUCCGAAUCCUACUAGAGAAACUCUGUCACCUUUUUUAAGAGAUCCUUCUACAUUU
Molecule: unclassified non-coding RNA, 149 nt
Filed under: Mesonia oceanica
Lineage: Bacteria; Pseudomonadati; Bacteroidota; Flavobacteriia; Flavobacteriales; Flavobacteriaceae
Description: sau-50
Source: RNAcentral